This 461-nucleotide ribosomal RNA is filed under the name uncultured bacterium. RNAcentral describes it as "partial 16S ribosomal RNA". It matches the Rfam family "Bacterial small subunit ribosomal RNA", at positions 28 to 507 of the family's 1533-position model. The record is from RNAcentral.
GACGAACGCUGGCGGCGUGCUAACACCAGCAAGGUGGACGGAAAGGCCCCUCGGGGUACUCGAGUGGCGAACGGGGGAGUAACACGUGGGGGAACUGCCCCGCACCUUGGGAUAAGCCUGGGAAACUGGGGCCAAUACCGAAUAGGACCAAGCGCUUCAUGGUGUGUGGGGGAAAGCUUUUGCGGUGUGGGAUGGGCCCGCGGCCUAUCAGCUUGUUGGUGGGGUAAUGGCCUACCAAGGCGACGACGGGUAGCCGGCCUGAGAGGGUGACCGGCCACACUGGGACUGAGAUGCGGCCCAGACUCCUACGGGAGGCAGCAGUGGGGAAUAUUGCACAAUGGGCGCAAGCCUGAUGCAGCGACGCCGCGUGAGGGAUGACGGCCUUCGGGUUGUAAACCUCUUUCAAUAGGGACGAAGCGCAAGUGACGGUACCUAUAGAAGAAGCACCGGCCAACUACGUG